CCUACGGGAGGCAGCAGUGAGGAAUAUUGGUCAAUGGGCGCGAGCCUGAACCAGCCAAGUCGCGUGAAGGAUGACUGCCCUACGGGUUGUAAACUUCUUUUAUACAGGAAUAAAGUGAGGCACGUGUGCCUUUUUGUAUGUACCUUACGAAUAAGGAUCGGCUAACUCCGUGCCAGCAGCCGCGGUAAUACGGAGGAUUCGAGCGUUAUCCGGAUUUAUUGGGUUUAAAGGGUGCGUAGAGGGGUUGUUAAGUCAGUUGUGAAAGUUCGGGGCUCAACCGUAAGAUUGCAAUUGAUCCUGGCAGGGUUAAGUACAGGUGAGGUAGGCGGAAUUCGUGGGGGAGCGGUGGAAUGCUUAGAUAUCACGAAGAACUCCGAUUGCGGAGGCAGCUUACUAAACUGCCACUGACAUUGAUGCACGAAAGUGUGGGGAUGGAACAGGAUUAGAUACCCCUGUAGUC
RNAcentral lists this ribosomal RNA (460 nucleotides) under uncultured bacterium. Its description in RNAcentral is "partial 16S ribosomal RNA". It matches the Rfam family "Bacterial small subunit ribosomal RNA", at positions 338 to 795 of the family's 1533-position model. The record is from RNAcentral.